AGGACGAACGCUGGCGGCGUGCCUAACACAUGCAAGUCGAACGGGGUCCAACCGGUGGCAACACUGGUGAAGACCUAGUGGCGAACGGGUGAGUAUCACGUGAGCAACCUGCCCCGAAGACUGGGAUAACACCGGGAAACCGGUGCUAAUACCGGAUACCCCCACCGGAUCGCAUGGUCUGGUGAGGAAAUGAAUUUUGCUUUGGGAGGGACUCGCGGCCUAUCAGCUUGUUGGUGGUGUAACGGACCACCAAGGCUUCGACGGGUAGCUGGUCUGAGAGGACGAUCAGCCACACUGGGACUGAGACACGGCCCAGACUCCUACGGGAGGCAGCAGUGGGGAAUCUUGCGCAAUGGGCGAAAGCCUGACGCAGCAACGCCGCGUGAGGGACGAAGGCCUUCUGGGUUGUAAACCUCUUUCAGCAGGGACGAUGAUGACGGUACCUGCAGAAGAGCCCGGCAACUACGUGCCAGCAGCCGCGGU
This 483-nucleotide ribosomal RNA is filed under the name uncultured bacterium. RNAcentral's name for it is "SSU rRNA". It matches the Rfam family "Bacterial small subunit ribosomal RNA", at positions 26 to 521 of the family's 1533-position model. The record is from RNAcentral.